RNAcentral lists this ribosomal RNA (253 nucleotides) under uncultured bacterium. Its description in RNAcentral is "partial 16S ribosomal RNA". It matches the Rfam family "Bacterial small subunit ribosomal RNA", at positions 524 to 776 of the family's 1533-position model. The record is from RNAcentral.
UACAGAGGGUGCAAGCGUUGUUCGGAAUUAUUGGGCGUAAAGCGCGUGUAGGCGGUGGAGUAUGUCGGGUGUGAAAGCCCCCAGCUCAACUGGGGAAGUGCCUUGGAAACUGCCGGUCUUGAGGGAGGUAGGGGCCUGUGGAACUUCGGGUGGAGCGGUGAAAUGCGUUGAUAUCCGAAGGAACGCCGGUGGCGAAAGCGACGGGCUGGAUCUCUUCUGACGCUGAGGCGCGAAAGCCAGGGUAGCGAACGGG